RNAcentral lists this ribosomal RNA (1259 nucleotides) under Arthrobacter sp. KFC-75. RNAcentral describes it as "bacterial SSU rRNA". It matches the Rfam family "Bacterial small subunit ribosomal RNA", at positions 204 to 1476 of the family's 1533-position model. Lineage: Bacteria; Bacillati; Actinomycetota; Actinomycetes; Micrococcales; Micrococcaceae. The record is from RNAcentral.
AAGCUUUUUGUGGUUUUGGAUGGACUCGCGGCCUAUCAGCUUGUUGGUGAGGUAAUGGCUUACCAAGGCGACGACGGGUAGCCGGCCUGAGAGGGUGACCGGCCACACUGGGACUGAGACACGGCCCAGACUCCUACGGGAGGCAGCAGUGGGGAAUAUUGCACAAUGGGCGAAAGCCUGAUGCAGCGACGCCGCGUGAGGGAUGACGGCUUCGGGUUGUAAACCUCUUUCAGUAGGGAAGAAGCGAAAGUGACGGUACCUGCAGAAGAAGCGCCGGCUAACUACGUGCCAGCAGCCGCGGUAAUACGUAGGGCGCAAAGCGUUAUCCGGAAUUAUUGGGCGUAAGAGCUCGUAGGCGGUUUUGUCGCGUCUGCCGUGAAAGUCCGGGGCUCAACUCCGGAUCUGCGGUGGGUACGGGCAGACUAGAGUGAUGUAGGGGAGACUGGAAUUCCUGGUGUAGCGGUGAAAUGCGCAGAUAUCAGGAGGAACACCGAUGGCGAAGGCAGGUCUCUGGGCAUUAACUGACGCUGAGGAGCGAAAGCAUGGGGAGCGAACAGGAUUAGAUACCCUGGUAGUCCAUGCCGUAAACGUUGGGCACUAGGUGUGGGGGACAUUCCACGUUUUCCGCGCCGUAGCUAACGCAUUAAGUGCCCCGCCUGGGGAGUACGGCCGCAAGGCUAAAACUCAAAGGAAUUGACGGGGGCCCGCACAAGCGGCGGAGCAUGCGGAUUAAUUCGAUGCAACGCAACCUUACCAAGGCUUGACAUGGACUGGAAAUACCUGGAAACAGGUGCCCCGCUUGCGGUCGGUUCACAGGUGGUGCAUGGUUGUCGUCAGCUCGUGUCGUGAGAUGUUGGGUUAAGUCCCGCAACGAGCGCAACCCUCGUUCUAUGUUGCCAGCGCGUGAUGGCGGGGACUCAUAGGAGACUGCCGGGGUCAACUCGGAGGAAGGUGGGGACGACGUCAAAUCAUCAUGCCCCUUAUGUCUUGGGCUUCACGCAUGCUACAAUGGCCGGUACAAAGGGUUGCGAUACUGUGAGGUGGAGCUAAUCCCAAAAAGCCGGUCUCAGUUCGGAUUGGGGUCUGCAACUCGACCCCAUGAAGUCGGAGUCGCUAGUAAUCGCAGAUCAGCAACGCUGCGGUGAAUACGUUCCCGGGCCUUGUACACACCGCCCGUCAAGUCACGAAAGUUGGUAACACCCGAAGCCGGUGGCCUUCCCCUUAUGGGGAGGGAGCUGUCGAAGGUGGGACUGGCGAUU